Long non-coding RNA from Gallus gallus (chicken), 513 nucleotides. Lineage: Eukaryota; Metazoa; Chordata; Aves; Galliformes; Phasianidae. The record is from Ensembl.
CACAAAUUUCUGAAUUAGCAGAGAAGAGCCCAAGUACCUAAUUAGCCCUCAGCUACACCUGGAGAUGAGGAGCAGUUGCAGAUGAGUGCUAUGGCAGAAGAGAUAGAAGGAGAAAAUCUCACUGUAGGGAUAGUCAGUUCUUGACUGUAGGAAAGGAACAGGAUGCUUGUGAACGGUGUUCUGAGAAAAAGUGGAGAAGCUGGAAUAACCCAGAUCUCAAUUAUGGCAGAUGAGAAAAAUGCCACAGGUGCCCCUCAGUUCCUUCACUUGUCAGACAUUCUCAUGGCUCAUUUCACACCCAGGCUAGCCUGAUGUUAAAAGGCUUGUAAUCAUCAGGCAUUGGGAUAUAAUUUUACCAAGCAAAUUGGAAGGUAGCAGAUCAAAUCCUUAUCGGAAAGACUAACUCAUGGUUUAGUGAAGUCCUCCGUCCUUUAUGUGAAACAUUAUAUUCGUGAAGAACAAAAAAGUGUUUGAGAGCUUACAAAGGGUUAAUAGCAAGGGCUUAUAUUUGGG